This is a long non-coding RNA of Zea mays, 2251 nucleotides long. RefSeq lists it as uncharacterized. The transcript is spliced from 6 exons. NCBI's taxonomy places the organism in Eukaryota, Viridiplantae, Streptophyta, Magnoliopsida, Poales, Poaceae. The record is from RefSeq and is a predicted model, not a curated record.
CCAUUCGUGCCGAGGCCUCACGAACACACCCAUUUGGUGCCCUACCGCUAAGCCGCUAACCCUGGCUCACGAACACACCCAGUCAGCCGCCAGGCCGCCGCUGUGCCUUCCGCCGUCCGCCGAGGCACCGAGCCGCUGUCCCUCCCCGUCCGCCGAGCCGUUGCCCCUGUGGCUGUGCUGUGCCUCCGUUCGCCGGCCGAGCCGCUGUCCGCCUGUCACUGUCCCUCAGUCCGCCGAGCUGCUGUGCUUUCCGGCUUCGCCGUCCGCCGAACAGGUUCGUCCGCGAGCGCGACGCGCCGAGCUUCCGCCGUCCGCCGAGCAGGGUCAUCUGCACACCAACAGGGUCUACGACAAUGUCUGGACCUUCAUUCUAACAGAUGCAACCUUCAAGAGCGCUGAGAUUCAAGAAACACUGAGCAAGAUGGGUCUCAAUGCCGUGGUGGCCGCCUGCUACGUCUUUCCAUUACUUGUCUUUGUGCUCACAGUCCGCUUCUUCUACGUACUGUGGCACAGUGGCCAACCAGAGUCAAGGUUGUGCGCCACCAGAUUGCGUUGUCUCAUUGUCCUUGGCUCCGAAAAGGUCCAGAUUACCAGCUCCGGGUGAUGCUGAUGAGCUAUCUGUCAUUGAAGACCAAAUUGCAUGGAUAGUUCACAUAAUUGCAUCCAUUGUCAAGUAAGGCAGGUAACAGGUGUUAGGUGAGCAAUAUAUAUUUUCUUUUAUUUGUAAACUUUGUUCUUUUAAAUGUUGUUCUUGCUUGCAUAUGCGAUUCAGGAAGAGCCCGUAGAGAGGUCGAGGAGCAGCACUGGCUGUUUCUCUGGCAUUGAUCAAGGCGAGCACAUCAAGGGGUCUCAGGCACCUCCCUCUCAUUGGUGUCGUCGUUGAACCAGUUAUGGUACAUUGGAAUGGCUGCAAAUUGAGGGAGAAAGACCUGGAAACAGUGAUGCAGCAUGUUCACACGAAGAUGGCAACAAUGGUAACAUUUGCAUUGGUCCUGUAAAUAAGGCAUCACAAGGUCAUAUGCUAGCAACUUUAAUAUGGAUUUAUUUAUUCUCCUAGAAGAAAAGGCCAAGAUGUUUGAGAUUUCAGUGCUUCAUUUAACUUUCAGCUUGUGUUGUCUUAGCUUACUAUGGCAUUAACCCACUACUAUCCUGAAUUGUCAUGUGAUCUGUAUCAUGUAUUCAUGAAAAAUGCAUUUUAUGCUACAAGCACUUGUGGUUUUGCUAACUAUAUCCAGUUAUGCAAUCCACAGUUCUUUGUAACAGUACAUGAUUAUGCCAAACAAGACAUUAGUUGAAUGAUAUGUUCAAACUAUUCAAAUGUUUUUCUCUUUGUAACAGUUUGUGAUGUUAGAAUGAUAUGUUCAAUCCACAGUCCUUUGUCUGGGAUGGAUUUCUUUGUCUUGACUCUUGAGUAUAGUGUAUUUCUGACUAUCAUUUGUCAAUUUUGUUGACUUUUAUGCUCAUAACUUGAGAAACUUUUAUUAUAAGUGUACACUGCGUUUUAUUUUUUUACUGUUGUUUGACUGAUUACUGCAAGGAAUCUUGUGUAGGUAUUGAAUAUGCUUGCUUGAUGGAUUGAAGAUCCAAAUUCGAAUAUAACUUCAUAAGUUCAUAUCCCACGAGUCUAAUUACUUGUGGCUUGCUGAAGAUGGCAUGAAGAUGCAGGAUGAAUCAAUGCUAUUAUGAUGCAUCUCUAUAGAUUAGACAACUACAGAGUUGGUGCUGUUUUAAUGCAGUCCGGGCACCCAAUAGCUUAUUUGAGCAAGGCUUUGGGAACUAAAUCUCAAGGGUUGUUCACCUAUGAGAAAGAAUAUCUGGCGAUUCUGGUUGCUGUAGAUCAUUGGCGCCAUUAUUUGCAGUUGAAGGAGUUUCACAUUUACACGGAUCAUCGCAGCUUCGUUCAAUUGGAUGAACAAUGUUUGCACACUCCAUGGCAACAGAAAAUGUUUACUCGUUUAUUGGGAUUGCAGUACAAAAUUAUAUACAAGGGGUUGACAAUAGUGCGGCUGAUGCAUUGUCCAGGCAUCCGGAGGUUCAGUUCUCCUGUUCGGCAUUGUCUACUUGCACUCCACAAUGGAUAACAAAUGUUUCUGAUUCUUAGCACCAUGAUGAUAUGGCUUCGACUAUAAUGGCCAAGUUAGCCAUUGAUGCUAAAGCAGUACCAUCUUAUUCAUGGCACAAUGGAAUUCUUCGCUAUAAAAACCGAAUUUGGGUGGGAUAGUCACUGACACUGCACCAAAGAUUGUUAUCA